GGUUAAGCGACUAAGCGUACACGGUGGAUGCCCUGGCAGUCAGAGGCGAUGAAGGACGUGCUAAUCUGCGAUAAGCGUCGGUAAGGUGAUAUGAACCGUUAUAACCGGCGAUUUCCGAAUGGGGAAACCCAGUGUGUUUCGACACACUAUCAUUAACUGAAUCCAUAGGUUAAUGAGGCGAACCGGGGGAACUGAAACAUCUAAGUACCCCGAGGAAAAGAAAUCAACCGAGAUUCCCCCAGUAGCGGCGAGCGAACGGGGAGCAGCCCAGAGCCUGAAUCAGUGUGUGUGUUAGUGGAAGCGUCUGGAAAGGCGCGCGAUACAGGGUGACAGCCCCGUACACAAAAAUGCACAUGCUGUGAGCUCGAUGAGUAGGGCGGGACACGUGGUAUCCUGUCUGAAUAUGGGGGGACCAUCCUCCAAGGCUAAAUACUCCUGACUGACCGAUAGUGAACCAGUACCGUGAGGGAAAGGCGAAAAGAACCCCGGCGAGGGGAGUGAAAAAGAACCUGAAACCGUGUACGUACAAGCAGUGGGAGCACGCUUAGGCGUGUGACUGCGUACCUUUUGUAUAAUGGGUCAGCGACUUAUAUUCUGUAGCAAGGUUAACCGAAUAGGGGAGCCGAAGGGAAACCGAGUCUUAACUGGGCGUUAAGUUGCAGGGUAUAGACCCGAAACCCGGUGAUCUAGCCAUGGGCAGGUUGAAGGUUGGGUAACACUAACUGGAGGACCGAACCGACUAAUGUUGAAAAAUUAGCGGAUGACUUGUGGCUGGGGGUGAAAGGCCAAUCAAACCGGGAGAUAGCUGGUUCUCCCCGAAAGCUAUUUAGGUAGCGCCUCGUGAAUUCAUCUCCGGGGGUAGAGCACUGUUUCGGCAAGGGGGUCAUCCCGACUUACCAACCCGAUGCAAACUGCGAAUACCGGAGAAUGUUAUCACGGGAGACACACGGCGGGUGCUAACGUCCGUCGUGAAGAGGGAAACAACCCAGACCGCCAGCUAAGGUCCCAAAGUCAUGGUUAAGUGGGAAACGAUGUGGGAAGGCCCAGACAGCCAGGAUGUUGGCUUAGAAGCAGCCAUCAUUUAAAGAAAGCGUAAUAGCUCACUGGUCGAGUCGGCCUGCGCGGAAGAUGUAACGGGGCUAAACCAUGCACCGAAGCUGCGGCAGCGACGCUUAUGCGUUGUUGGGUAGGGGAGCGUUCUGUAAGCCUGCGAAGGUGUGCUGUGAGGCAUGCUGGAGGUAUCAGAAGUGCGAAUGCUGACAUAAGUAACGAUAAAGCGGGUGAAAAGCCCGCUCGCCGGAAGACCAAGGGUUCCUGUCCAACGUUAAUCGGGGCAGGGUGAGUCGACCCCUAAGGCGAGGCCGAAAGGCGUAGUCGAUGGGAAACAGGUUAAUAUUCCUGUACUUGGUGUUACUGCGAAGGGGGGACGGAGAAGGCUAUGUUGGCCGGGCGACGGUUGUCCCGGUUUAAGCGUGUAGGCUGGUUUUCCAGGCAAAUCCGGAAAAUCAAGGCUGAGGCGUGAUGACGAGGCACUACGGUGCUGAAGCAACAAAUGCCCUGCUUCCAGGAAAAGCCUCUAAGCAUCAGGUAACAUCAAAUCGUACCCCAAACCGACACAGGUGGUCAGGUAGAGAAUACCAAGGCGCUUGAGAGAACUCGGGUGAAGGAACUAGGCAAAAUGGUGCCGUAACUUCGGGAGAAGGCACGCUGAUAUGUAGGUGAAGUCCCUCGCGGAUGGAGCUGAAAUCAGUCGAAGAUACCAGCUGGCUGCAACUGUUUAUUAAAAACACAGCACUGUGCAAACACGAAAGUGGACGUAUACGGUGUGACGCCUGCCCGGUGCCGGAAGGUUAAUUGAUGGGGUCAGCGCAAGCGAAGCUCUUGAUCGAAGCCCCGGUAAACGGCGGCCGUAACUAUAACGGUCCUAAGGUAGCGAAAUUCCUUGUCGGGUAAGUUCCGACCUGCACGAAUGGCGUAAUGAUGGCCAGGCUGUCUCCACCCGAGACUCAGUGAAAUUGAACUCGCUGUGAAGAUGCAGUGUACCCGCGGCAAGACGGAAAGACCCCGUGAACCUUUACUAUAGCUUGACACUGAACAUUGAGCCUUGAUGUGUAGGAUAGGUGGGAGGCUUUGAAGUGUGGACGCCAGUCUGCAUGGAGCCGGCCUUGAAAUACCACCCUUUAAUGUUUGAUGUUCUAACGUGGACCCGUAAUCCGGGUUGCGGACAGUGUCUGGUGGGUAGUUUGACUGGGGCGGUCUCCUCCUAAAGAGUAACGGAGGAGCACGAAGGUUGGCUAAUCCUGGUCGGACAUCAGGAGGUUAGUGCAAUGGCAUAAGCCAGCUUGACUGCGAGCGUGACGGCGCGAGCAGGUGCGAAAGCAGGUCAUAGUGAUCCGGUGGUUCUGAAUGGAAGGGCCAUCGCUCAACGGAUAAAAGGUACUCCGGGGAUAACAGGCUGAUACCGCCCAAGAGUUCAUAUCGACGGCGGUGUUUGGCACCUCGAUGUCGGCUCAUCACAUCCUGGGGCUGAAGUAGGUCCCAAGGGUAUGGCUGUUCGCCAUUUAAAGUGGUACGCGAGCUGGGUUUAGAACGUCGUGAGACAGUUCGGUCCCUAUCUGCCGUGGGCGCUGGAGAACUGAGGGGGGCUGCUCCUAGUACGAGAGGACCGGAGUGGACGCAUCACUGGUGUUCGGGUUGUCAUGCCAAUGGCACUGCCCGGUAGCUAAAUGCGGAAGAGAUAAGUGCUGAAAGCAUCUAAGCACGAAACUUGCCCCGAGAUGAGUUCUCCCUGACUCCUUGAGAGUCCUGAAGGAACGUUGAAGACGACGACGUUGAUAGGCCGGGUGUGUAAGCGCAGCGAUGCGUUGAGCUAACCGGUACUAAUGAACCGUGAGGCUUAACCUU
Molecule: ribosomal RNA, 2904 nt
Filed under: Escherichia coli
Lineage: Bacteria; Pseudomonadati; Pseudomonadota; Gammaproteobacteria; Enterobacterales; Enterobacteriaceae
Description: 23S ribosomal RNA
Rfam family: Bacterial large subunit ribosomal RNA
Source: RNAcentral